This 508-nucleotide ribosomal RNA is filed under the name uncultured bacterium. Its description in RNAcentral is "partial 16S ribosomal RNA". It matches the Rfam family "Bacterial small subunit ribosomal RNA", at positions 30 to 523 of the family's 1533-position model. The record is from RNAcentral.
AUUGAACGCUGGCGGCAUGCCUUACACACGCAAGUCGAACGGCAGCGGGGGAGAAGCUUGCUUUUCCUGCCGGCGAGUGGCGAACGGGUGAGUAAAGUAUCGGAACGUGCCCAGGAGGGGGGGAUAACGUAGCGAAAGUUACGCUAAUACCGCAUACGAUCUAUGGAUGAAAGCGGGGGAUCGCAAGACCUCGCGCGAUUGGAGCGGCCGAUAUCAGAUUAGGUAGUUGGUGGGGUAAAGGCUCACCAAGCCGACGAUCUGUAGCUGGUCUGGGAGGACUACCAGCCGAACUGGGACCGAGACACGGCCCAGACUCCUACGGGAGGCAGCAGUGGGGAAUUUUGGACAAUGGGCGAAAGCCUGAUCCAGCCAUGUCGCGUGCAGGAUGAAGGCCUUCGGGUUGUAAACUGCUUUUGUACGGAACGAAAAGGUUUGGCCUAAUAAGCUGAGCUCAUGACGGUACCGUAAGAAUAAGCACCGGCUAACUACGUGCCAGCAGCCGCCGUAA